GACGUAGGUGGCGAACGUUAUCCGGAAUUAUUGGGCGUAAAGGAUGCGUAGAUGGUGUAGUAAGUUAUCGGUGGCAAAUCGAGGCUCAACCUCGUGGAAGUCGGUAAUACUGCUAUGCUAGAGGAUAGGAGAGGUUAACGGAACUCCCUGUGAAGCGGUGAAAUGCGUAGAUAUAGGGAAGAACACCAAUCAGGCGAAGGCAGUUAACUAUUCUAUUCCUGACAUUGAGGCAUGAAAGCGUGGGGAGCAAAACGG
Molecule: ribosomal RNA, 255 nt
Filed under: uncultured bacterium
Lineage: Bacteria
Description: partial 16S ribosomal RNA
Rfam family: Bacterial small subunit ribosomal RNA
Source: RNAcentral